This 148-nucleotide non-coding RNA is filed under the name Gorilla gorilla gorilla (western lowland gorilla). The record is from Rfam by way of RNAcentral. Lineage: Eukaryota; Metazoa; Chordata; Mammalia; Primates; Hominidae.
GCUGGGCGUGGUAGCGCAUGCCUGUAAUCCCAGCUACUGGGGAGGCUGAGGCAGGAGAAUCGUUUGAACCUGGGAAGCAGAGGUUGCAGUGAGCUGAGAUCGUGCCACUGCAUUCCAGCCUGGGUGACAGAGCAAGACUCUGUCUCCA